CAGCAGCAGCCGCGGGAAUACAGAGGGUGCGAGCGUUAAUCGGAUUUACUGGGCGUAAAGCGUGCGUAGGCGGCUUUUUAAGUCGGAUGUGAAAUCCCUGAGCUUAACUUAGGAAUUGCAUUCGAUACUGGGAAGCUAGAGUAUGGGAGAGGAUGGUAGAAUUCCAGGUGUAGCGGUGAAAUGCGUAGAGAUCUGGAGGAAUACCGAUGGCGAAGGCAGCCAUCUGGCCUAAUACUGACGCUGAGGUACGAAAGCAUGGGGAGCAAACAGGAUUAGAUACCCGAGUAGUCCCUGUCUCUUAUAC
RNAcentral lists this ribosomal RNA (304 nucleotides) under uncultured bacterium. RNAcentral describes it as "partial 16S ribosomal RNA". It matches the Rfam family "Bacterial small subunit ribosomal RNA", at positions 506 to 807 of the family's 1533-position model. The record is from RNAcentral.